UGACUUCCCCUGGACACUGAAGUCCUCCCUUUGUCCACAGAACAGGUGCUGCAUACAAAGCAGCCAUGCAAACUUCUCUGUCUGCCUCAGCGCAAACCUGCUGGGGCUAUUUCCUGGGAAUGGCAGAGAGGCAGGUGGUUCAGUCUUCAAACUUGGCCUCUCAUCUGCGACUGAA
Molecule: unclassified non-coding RNA, 175 nt
Organism: Chelonoidis abingdonii (Abingdon island giant tortoise)
Lineage: Eukaryota; Metazoa; Chordata; Testudines; Testudinidae
Source: Ensembl